RNAcentral lists this ribosomal RNA (144 nucleotides) under Lonsdalea quercina. RNAcentral describes it as "16S rRNA. Bacterial SSU". It matches the Rfam family "Bacterial small subunit ribosomal RNA", at positions 1 to 136 of the family's 1533-position model. The record is from RNAcentral. Lineage: Bacteria; Pseudomonadati; Pseudomonadota; Gammaproteobacteria; Enterobacterales; Pectobacteriaceae.
UUUAAUUGAAGAGUUUGAUCAUGGCUCAGAUUGAACGCUGGCGGCAGGCCUAACACAUGCAAGUCGAGCGGCAGCGGAAGGAAGCUUGCUUCCUUGCCGGCGAGCGGCGGACGGGUGAGUAAUGUCUGGGGAUCUGCCCGAUGG